AUAAUUUAAACUUUUUGAGUGUGUCUUUCCUCUGUGUGUAUGCAAUUAUUCUUUUUUUGUUUUUUUUUUUCAUUGGUUUUGGUGUGCUUACUUUGGCUUAAAGUAUUUGCUUGAAAAGAUUGGUUAGAUUUUACUUGAAUGUUAGAGCAAAACAUGGCUAUUAUCCGCACUAAUAUUGUUGGUGUGCUUCAAAAAAAUG
This 199-nucleotide long non-coding RNA is filed under the name Ricinus communis (castor bean). Its description in RNAcentral is "long non-coding RNA (RCOM_LNC000637)". Lineage: Eukaryota; Viridiplantae; Streptophyta; Magnoliopsida; Malpighiales; Euphorbiaceae. The record is from RNAcentral.